ACUUUUAAAGGAUAAGAGCUAUCCGUUGGUCUUAGGAACCAAAAAAU
Molecule: transfer RNA, 47 nt
Filed under: Propithecus verreauxi verreauxi
Lineage: Eukaryota; Metazoa; Chordata; Mammalia; Primates; Indriidae
Also listed under: 2 other names
Description: partial tRNA-Leu
Source: RNAcentral